GACGAACGCUGGCGGCGUGCUUAACACAUGCAAGUCGAGCGGUAAGGCCCUUUCGGGGGUAUACGAGCGGCGAACGGGUGAGUAACACGUGAGCAACCUGCCCUUCUCUUUGGAAUAAGCGUUGGAAACGACGUCUAAUGCCGAAUAUGACCCCCUGUCGCAUGGUGGGGGGUGGAACGCUCUGGCGGAGAAGGAUGGGCUCGCGGCCUAUCAGCUUGUUGGUGUGGGUAAUGGCCCACCAAGGCGACGACGGGUAGCCGGCCUGAGAGGGUGACCGGCCACACUGGGACUGAGACACGGCCCAGACUCCUACGGGAGGCAGCAGUGGGGAAUAUUGGACAAUGGGCGAAAGCCUGAUCCAGCAACGCCGCGUGAGGGAUGACGGCCUUCGGGUUGUAAACCUCUUUCAGCAGGGACGAAGCGAGAGUGACGGUACCUGCAGAAGAAGGACCGGCCAACUACGUGCCAGCAGCCGCCGUAA
This 481-nucleotide ribosomal RNA is filed under the name uncultured bacterium. RNAcentral describes it as "partial 16S ribosomal RNA". It matches the Rfam family "Bacterial small subunit ribosomal RNA", at positions 28 to 523 of the family's 1533-position model. The record is from RNAcentral.